CCCUCCUUAGCGUCCCAGAGGGCUUGUCUGCUACAGGGGCUCCCAGCGGCCUCCCGCACCGAAGGGACCCUGGGCGUCUGAGGCCCUGAUCCGGGCGGGCCUUCAGGAUGUUAGCAGUCCCUGUCCGGUUGAAGGCCUGCGGGGCGGGGGCGGGGUGGCGCCCAGGACGACUCCCCGGGCUCAGCUUGGCUGCCUGCCUCCUUCUCAAACAAUGAGUACCUACUGUGUGCAGAAGCAGCAGGACAGCCUGUCAUCACUGGGAAAGAGGCCAGAAGAGCCAUUUGGCCAGGGUCUCCAAUUUAGGCUUUCAACAUUAUCUCUAAAGAAGGUUAUACAUUAUGUCGGCUCCACUGGCUGAUGGGAUCAAAGACCCUCCUUGUAUAUCCUUAAACCUGUACUCUAUUACCAGGCCACUGUGCCUGUGGAGCACUGUAAGUUCCUACCUUUUAAUAAAUUUUAUAAUUAUCUUGUGAGCA
This is a long non-coding RNA of Pan troglodytes (chimpanzee), 476 nucleotides long. RefSeq lists it as uncharacterized. The transcript has 3 exons. The record is from RefSeq and is a predicted model, not a curated record. Lineage: Eukaryota; Metazoa; Chordata; Mammalia; Primates; Hominidae.